This 263-nucleotide unclassified non-coding RNA is filed under the name uncultured fungus. Its description in RNAcentral is "partial contains small subunit ribosomal RNA, internal transcribed spacer 1, and 5.8S ribosomal RNA". The stretch from base 1 to 73 matches the Rfam family "Eukaryotic small subunit ribosomal RNA", at positions 1759 to 1831 of the family's 1831-position model. Lineage: Eukaryota; Fungi. The record is from RNAcentral.
GCAAACUUGGUCAUUUAGAGGAAGUAAAAGUCGUAACAAGGUUUCCGUAGGUGAACCUGCGGAAGGAUCAUUACCGAGUGUUGGUUGCGUUCUCGUAACCGCCUCCCGUCCUAUGCCUUCAAAAAAAGAUUUGCUUCGGUGGGGGAACCCACCGAUAGCACGCUUUUAAACUCUUGAAAACGGGGCCGUCUGAGCGAAAACACGAAUCAAAAAAAACUUUCAACAACGGAUCUCUUGGUUCCGGCAUCGAUGAAGAACGCAGC